GUGGGGAAUAUUGCACAAUGGGCGCAAGCCUGAUGCAGCAACGCCGCGUGAGGGACGACGGCCUUCGGGUUGUAAACCUCUUUUAGUAGGGAAGAAGCGAAAGUGACGGUACCUGCAGAAAAAGCACCGGCUAACUACGUGCCAGCAGCCGCGGUAAUACGUAGGGUGCAAGCGUUAUCCGGAAUUAUUGGGCGUAAAGAGCUCGUAGGCGGUUUGUCGCGUCUGCUGUGAAAACUGGAGGCUCAACCUCCAGCCUGCAGUGGGUACGGGCAGACUAGAGUGCGGUAGGGGAGAUUGGAAUUCCUGGUGUAGCGGUGGAAUGCGCAGAUAUCAGGAGGAACACCGAUGGCGAAGGCAGAUCUCUGGGCCGUAACUGACGCUGAGGAGCGAAAGCGUGGGGAGCGAACAGGAUUAGAUACCCUGGUAGUCC
Molecule: ribosomal RNA, 430 nt
Filed under: uncultured bacterium
Lineage: Bacteria
Description: partial 16S ribosomal RNA
Rfam family: Bacterial small subunit ribosomal RNA
Source: RNAcentral